Molecule: non-coding RNA, 78 nt
Organism: Schistosoma haematobium
Lineage: Eukaryota; Metazoa; Platyhelminthes; Trematoda; Strigeidida; Schistosomatidae
Source: Rfam
AGCUUUUCGAAUCCGUGCUGAGAUUUCGUCAGACAUCAACCCACUACGGCUGAUCAAACUUCCAAGAUAGGUGAAGUC